This 804-nucleotide long non-coding RNA is filed under the name Olea europaea subsp. europaea. The record is from RNAcentral. Lineage: Eukaryota; Viridiplantae; Streptophyta; Magnoliopsida; Lamiales; Oleaceae.
ACCUCACCACGACUAUCAGCGCCACCAUCGUCAUCACCAUCAUCAUCGCCACCUCUCACAAACUACCAUUUCCAAUGUCAAAACCAUCACCUCACCAUCAUAACCACCAACAUAACCACGCCCACUAUCCCCACCACCAAGAUCCAACACUGCCGCCCAAACACGAGAUCGCAGGCACACCAGUCGCUUCCUAAACACCAACAAAAUCGCCAUCCAAAAAUCAACAAAGUCGUCACCCAACCACCAAUAAAACUAUUGUCGCCACCGCCGCCACCGCCACAAGCACAAACAAACCACCCACCACCAUUACUAACAACAAGAUCCAAUAAAACCACCACUAAAAAAACCAACAAAUCAGAUCGAGUCACCUUGCCAUCACCACAACCAAAACGCCGUUGGUUGUGUGCAAUCGCGCUCAGAUCAGAUCCAAAAACUAGAAUGCUUGGCGGCUUCCGUCAGCUUUAUUCCAGCUAACUCUAGCCACUUUCAAGUCGUCUUCUUCGUCUUCCUCUUCUCCAUCGAUUAUUUCUGCUUGGCCUAGCCUUUCUCUAGCUAUGAUGGCGACACCACAGUCGAAGGCUUAACGGUAGAAAACUGAAGUAGAUCUACGAAUGAAGUAGAUCUACGAAUAGCAUGUCGUCUCUCAUAGUGCUGUGUUGCUACGUGUUUUUCCUUUAGUGACUACAGAUCAAAGAUGUUGACCGAUCGGAUGUGUUGUAAGCCUAACCCGGCUAGUGCUCUGGUAGUGGCACAAUAGAGAGAGAAGAGAGAAUUGAAAUAUAGAGAGGGAAUGAAGAGAUUUAG